AAUGAACGCUGGCGGCGUGCUUAACACAUGCAAGUCGAGCGAGGCCUUGGGGGGCAACUCCCAGAGUCGAGCGGCGGACGGGUGAGUAACACGUGGGUAACCUGCCCGGGAGUGGGGAAUACCUCGGGGAAACUCGAGCUAAUACCGCAUGACAUCUUUGGGACGAAAGUCCUGACGAUCAAAGCGGGGUCGCAAGAUCUCGCGCUACCGGAUGGGCCCGCGCCCGAUUAGCUAGNGGUGAGGUAACGGCUCACCAAGGCUUCGAUCGGUAACCGGCCUGAGAGGGCGAUCGGUCACACCGGAACUGAGACACGGUCCGGACUCCUACGGGAGGCAGCAGUGGGGAAUCUUGCGCAAUGGGCGAAAGCCUGACGCAGCAACGCCGCGUGGAGGAUGAAGGCCC
RNAcentral lists this ribosomal RNA (403 nucleotides) under uncultured bacterium. Its description in RNAcentral is "bacterial SSU rRNA". It matches the Rfam family "Bacterial small subunit ribosomal RNA", at positions 28 to 417 of the family's 1533-position model. The record is from RNAcentral.